AAAUGAAUAGACGGGGACCCGCACAAGCGGUGGAGCAUGUGGUUUAAUUCGACGCAACGCGAAGAACCUUACCAGGGCUUGACAUCCCCCGCAAUCUGUGGAAACACAGAGUUCUUAGCUUCGGUUAAGACGGGGAGACAGGUGGUGCAUGGUUGUCGUCAGCUCGUGUCGUGAGAUGUUGGGUUAAGUCCCGCAACGAGCGCAACCCCUACUUUUAGUUGCCAGCAUUAAGUUGGGCACUCUAAAGGAACUGCCGGUGACAAACCGGAGGAAGGUGGGGAUGACGUCAAAUCAUCAUGCCCUUUAUGUCCUGGGCUACACACGUGCUACAAUGGCCGGUACAGAGGGCUGCGAAGGAGCGAUCUGGAGCGAAUCCCAAAAAGCCGGUCUCAGUUCGGAUUGCAGGCUGCAACCCGCCUGCAUGAAGUUGGAAUCGCUAGUAAUCGCGAGUCAGCAUAUCGCGGUGAAUACGUUCCCGGGUCUUGCACACACCGCCCGU
Molecule: ribosomal RNA, 499 nt
Filed under: uncultured bacterium
Lineage: Bacteria
Description: bacterial SSU rRNA
Rfam family: Bacterial small subunit ribosomal RNA
Source: RNAcentral